Molecule: non-coding RNA, 205 nt
Organism: Oryza nivara
Lineage: Eukaryota; Viridiplantae; Streptophyta; Magnoliopsida; Poales; Poaceae
Source: Rfam
AAAAAAGAAAACCGUGGGUUUCUGUGCCAAUGUUUGAUUGUCCGUCUUAUAUGAAAAUUUUUUAUAAUUAGUAUUUUUAUUGUUGUUAGAUGAUAAAACAUGAUUAAUACUUUAUGCGUGACUUAUUUUUUUAAUUUUUUUCAUAAUUUUUUUAAAUAAGACGGACGGUUAAACGUUGGAUAUGAAAACUAGGGUUUGUCUUUUU